AUUGAACGCUGGCGGCAGGCCUAACACAUGCAAGUCGAGCGGAUGAAGGGAGCUUGCUCCUGGAUUCAGCGGCGGACGGGUGAGUAAUGCCUAGGAAUCUGCCUGGUAGUGGGGGAUAACGUCCGGAAACGGGCGCUAAUACCGCCUACGUCCUGAGGGAGAAAGUGGGGGAUCUUCGGACCUCACGCUAUCAGAUGAGCCUAGGUCGGAUUAGCUAGUUGGUGGGGUAAAGGCCUACCAAGGCGACGAUCCGUAACUGGUCUGAGAGGAUGAUCAGUCACACUGGAACUGAGACACGGUCCAGACUCCUACGGGAGGCAGCAGUGGGGAAUAUUGGACAAUGGGCGAAAGCCUGAUCCAGCCAUGCCGCGUGUGUGAAGAAGGUCAUCGGAUUGUAAAGCACUUUAAGUUGGGAGGAAGGGCAGUAAGUUAAUACCUUGCUGUUUUGACGUUACCAACAGAAUAAGCACCGGCUAACUUCGUG
RNAcentral lists this ribosomal RNA (484 nucleotides) under uncultured bacterium. RNAcentral describes it as "partial 16S ribosomal RNA". It matches the Rfam family "Bacterial small subunit ribosomal RNA", at positions 30 to 507 of the family's 1533-position model. The record is from RNAcentral.